AGCCUGCCCAGUGACAAAGUUUAACGGCCGCGGUAUUCUGACCGUGCGAAGGUAGCAUAAUCACUUGUUCUUUAAAUGGGGACUUGUAUCAAUGGCAUCACGAGGGCCAUACUGUCUCCUUUUUCCAAUCAGUGAAACUGAUCUUCCCGUGAAGAAGCGGGAAUUAACCUAUAAGACGAGAAGACCCCAUGGAGCUUUAAACCCAACAACAACUCUUAAUAAUUAAACCACAAAAAUUAACGAGACCCUGAAUUGUUGGUUUUAGGUUGGGGUGACCGCGGAGCACAAAUUAACCUCCACGACGAACGGGACUAAACCCUUAUCCAAGAACCACCACUCUAAGAAUCAGCAUACUGACUUCUAAUGAUCCGACCACUCGAUCAACGRACCAAGUUACCCUGGGGAUAACAGCGCUAUCCA
Molecule: ribosomal RNA, 420 nt
Filed under: Indirana sp. Ooty
Lineage: Eukaryota; Metazoa; Chordata; Amphibia; Anura; Ranixalidae
Description: partial 16S ribosomal RNA
Rfam family: Bacterial large subunit ribosomal RNA
Source: RNAcentral